GAUGAACGCUAGCGGGAGGCCUAACACAUGCAAGCCGAGCGGUAUUGUUCCUUCGGAAAUGAGAGAGCGGCGUACGGGUGCGGGACACGUGUGCAACCUGCCUUUAUCUGGGGGAUAGCCUUUCGAAAGGAAGAUUAAUACUCCAUAAUAUAUUGAACGGCAUCGUUUAAUAUUGAAAGCUCCGGCGGAUAGAGAUGGGCACGCGCAAGAUUAGCUAGUUGGUGAGGUAACGGCUCACCAAGGCGAUGAUCUUUAGGGGGCCUGAGAGGGUGAUCCCCCACACUGGUACUGAGACACGGACCAGACUCCUACGGGAGGCAGCAGUGAGGAAUAUUGGUCAAUGGGUGCAAGCCUGAACCAGCCAUCCCGCGUGAAGGACGACUGCCCUAUGGGUUGUAAACUUCUUUUGUAUAGGGAUAAACCUACCCUCGUGAGGGUAGCUGAAGGUACUAUACGAAUAAGCACCGGCUAACUCCGUGCCAGCAGCCGCGGUAAUACGGAGGGUGCAAGCGUUAUCCGGAUUUAUUGGGUUUAAAGGGUCCGUAGGCGGACUUAUAAGUCAGUGGUGAAAGCCUGUCGCUUAACGAUAGAACUGCCAUUGAUACUGUAAGUCUUGAGUAUAUUUGAGGUAGCUGGAAUAAGUAGUGUAGCGGUGAAAUGCAUAGAUAUUACUUAGAACACCAAUUGCGAAGGCAGGUUACCAAGAUAUAACUGACGCUGAGGGACGAAAGCGUGGGGAGCGAACAGGAUUAGAUACCCUGGUAGUCCACGCCGUAAACGAUGCUAACUCGUUUUUGGGCUUUAGGGUUCAGAGACCAAGCGAAAGUGAUAAGUUAGCCACCUGGGGAGUACGCUCGCAAGAGUGAAACUCAAAGGAACUGACGGGGGCCCGCACAAGCGGUGGAUUAUGUGGUUUAAUUCGAUGAUACGCGAGGAACCUUACCAAGACUUAAAUGGGAAUUGACAGCUUUAGAAAUAGAGCUUUCUUCGGACAAUUUUCAAGGUGCUGCAUGGUUGUCGUCAGCUCGUGCCGUGAGGUGUUAGGUUAAGUCCUGCAACGAGCGCAACCCCUGUCACUAGUUGCCAUCAUUCAGUUGGGGACUCUAGUGAGACUGCCUACGCAAGUAGAGAGGAAGGUGGGGAUGACGUCAAAUCAUCACGGCCCUUACGUCUUGGGCCACACACGUAAUACAAUGGCCGGUACAGAGGGCAGCUACACAGCGAUGUGAUGCAAAUCUCGAAAGCCGGUCUCAGUUCGGAUUGGAGUCUGCAACUCGACUCUAUGAAGCUGGAAUCGCUAGUAAUCGCGCAUCAGCCAUGGCGCGGUGAAUACGUUCCCGGGCCU
RNAcentral lists this ribosomal RNA (1345 nucleotides) under uncultured bacterium. RNAcentral's name for it is "bacterial SSU rRNA". It matches the Rfam family "Bacterial small subunit ribosomal RNA", at positions 28 to 1381 of the family's 1533-position model. The record is from RNAcentral.